ACAAUCCUGUACAAACUGAAGUUGGGGGAGAUUGUCACCACCAUCCCAACCAUAGGCUUCAAUGUAGAAACAGUGGAAUAUAAGAACAUCUGUUUCACAGUCUGGGACGUGGGAGGCCAGGACAAGAUUCGGCCUCUGUGGCGGCACUACUUCCAGAACACUCAGGGCCUCAUCUUUGUGGUGGACAGUAAUGACCGGGAGCGGGUCCAAGAAUCUGCUGAUGAACUCCAGAAGAUGGUGAGAGGACGAGCUGCGGGAUGCAGUGCUGCUGGUAUUUGCCAACAAGCAGGACAUGCCCAACGCCAUGCCCGUGAGCGAGCUGACUGACAAGCUGGGGCUACAGCACUUACGCAGCCGCACGUGGUAUGUCCAGGCCACCUGUGCCACCCAAGGCACAGGUCUGUACGAUGGUCUGGACUGGCUGUCCCACGAGCUGUCAAAGCGCUAACCAGCCAGGGGCAGGCCCCUGAUGCCCGGAAGCUCCUGCGUGCAUCCCCGGGAUGACCAGACUCCCGGACUCCUCAGGCAGUGCCCUUUCCUCCCACUUUUCCUCCCCCAUAGCCACAGGCCUCUGCUCCUGCUCCUGCCUGCAUGUUCUCUCUGUUGUUGGAGCCUGGAGCCUUGCUCUCUGGGCACAGAGGGGUCCACUCUCCUGCCUGCUGGGACCUAUGGAAGGGGCUUCCUGGCCAAGGCCCCCUCUUCCAGAGGAGGAGCAGGGAUCUGGGUUUCCUUUUUUUUUUCUGUUUUGGGUGUACUCUAGGGGCCAGGUUGGGAGGGGGAAGGUGAGGGCUUCGGGUGGUGCUAUAAUGUGGCACUGGAUCUUGAGUAAUAAAUUUGCUGUGGUU
This 845-nucleotide long non-coding RNA is filed under the name Homo sapiens (human). RNAcentral describes it as "long non-coding RNA NONHSAT212667.1". Lineage: Eukaryota; Metazoa; Chordata; Mammalia; Primates; Hominidae. The record is from RNAcentral.